Molecule: long non-coding RNA, 1075 nt
Organism: Carassius auratus (goldfish)
Lineage: Eukaryota; Metazoa; Chordata; Actinopteri; Cypriniformes; Cyprinidae
Exons: 7
Source: RefSeq, a predicted model, not a curated record
GCGAGGCUGCGGUUUCCGCGAUCUGCUGUUUUCGAUUUGGCUGCCUCCUCGAGCGGUGCAGCCGAAUGAUAUUUCUUAAACAGCUGAAGAGACAGAGGAGGAAUCGGAGUUUUGUCGGGGCUGUAAUACCACAGGGGGAGCUUCAGGGCAUCAUGGCGUGCUGUAACCCCACUCCACCACUAGUGCACCAGCAGAUCAAUGCGCUUCAUCAGCUUCUCCUUUACUCAAGAAACCGCUGGAAAUAACAGAGUAUUGAGCAGCAGCAGAAGGAGGUGCAGGAGAAGCGGAAAGCUAAAGAACGAGCCAAGAAAGCUCAAGAGGACGAAAGAAAGCCAAACUGAGCUACCAGGAGUCACUGCAAAAUGUUCACACUGUUCGGCAGCAAGUAAUGGAAGCAAAGCAAGCUGGACAGAAAAGAGCGAGAGCUGUCAGUGAUGCUGGGGAAGAGAGUCUUAAACCAAACAUUAAUGUCUCAAAGACUGAAAGCGAGACAUUGGUGGCAGAUCAGUCAGCUAAACCUGCUCAGAAAAAAACUGAAAAAGAAGAAUGUUCAAGAGCCUGGAGUUCCCGAACAAAACUUCAAACCUUUUGACUACAGCCAGUCAAAUUUUAAAAUAUUCGCUGGUAAAUCAAAAGAGAGUUCACAGUUUGAUCCAAACAGAUAAGCACAUGGACCCAAGCAGAAGAAAAACCAAAAAGGACAGAAGAAAAGCGUUGUGGGUGGCAGGAGCAUGUCUUAUGUUCCUGCCAAAUCUGACCGGUAACACAUACACACACAGAACUAGACUGAAGAAAUUCAUCGUUGCAGGGUUAAGGAAAAAAGCAUUCAUAUGAUGGGUUUAUUUCUGUUUGCAGAGGCUUUCGCCCACAACUGGCCCAAGAGACAGAAGUCUUCACCCCCUUUUGAUAAUAAAUCUAUAAUGCUAUAUAAGCAGCACAUUGACUACUAUAAAAUAUAUCCAAGCUUCAUUUCUAUAGUAUUUCCCCCUUAAAAAAGAUAUACUAAAAUAGUUGCUGAAAUGUGAGGGUUGUACUCCCUUUUGUGAGAUACUGUGUGUGUGUGUGUGUGUGUGUG